UACGAAGGGUGCAAGCGUUAUUCGGAAUUACUGGGCGUAAAGCGUGCGUAGGCGGUUUGUUAAGUCUGUUGUGAAAGCCCCGGGCUCAACCUGGGAAUGGCAAUGGAAACUGGCGAGCUAGAGUACGGUAGAGGAGAGUGGAAUUCCCGGUGUAGCAGUGAAAUGCGUAGAGAUCGGGAGGAACAUCAGUUGCGAAGGCGGCUCUCUGGACCAGUACUGACGCUGAGGCACGAAAGCCAGGGGAGCGAACGGG
This 253-nucleotide ribosomal RNA is filed under the name uncultured bacterium. RNAcentral describes it as "partial 16S ribosomal RNA". It matches the Rfam family "Bacterial small subunit ribosomal RNA", at positions 524 to 776 of the family's 1533-position model. The record is from RNAcentral.